UCUGCCCGUCCAAAGGUAGCAUAAUCAUUUGCCUUAUAAUUGAAGGCUAGUAUGAAUGGUUUGACAAGAAUGUAGCUGUCUCUUUAUGAUUAAAUAAAAUUUUAUUUUCAGGUGAAGAAGCCUGUAUUGAAUUAAAAGACAAGAAGACCCUAUCGAGCUUGAAAAAAGUUAUCAGGUAGACAGUUAAUAUAUAUAAAAAACUAGCUGUUAAAAAUUUUAGUUGGGGUGACUGAGGAACAAAUAAAGCUUCCUUUAAAAACUUAAAACAUACAAGUUUUGAUCCAGAACAUUCUGAUUAAAGAAAUUAGUUACCGUAGGGAUAACAGCAUUAUCUUUUUUGAGAGCCCCUAUCGAAAAAAAGGUUUGUGACCUCGAUGUUGGACCAGAAU
This 389-nucleotide ribosomal RNA is filed under the name Buccinastrum deforme. Its description in RNAcentral is "partial 16S ribosomal RNA". It matches the Rfam family "Bacterial large subunit ribosomal RNA", at positions 1941 to 2543 of the family's 2925-position model. Lineage: Eukaryota; Metazoa; Mollusca; Gastropoda; Neogastropoda; Buccinanopsidae. The record is from RNAcentral.